RNAcentral lists this ribosomal RNA (252 nucleotides) under uncultured bacterium. RNAcentral describes it as "partial 16S ribosomal RNA". It matches the Rfam family "Bacterial small subunit ribosomal RNA", at positions 524 to 776 of the family's 1533-position model. The record is from RNAcentral.
UACGUAGGUGGCGAGCGUUAUCCGGAAUGAUUGGGCGUAAAGGGUGCGUAGGCGGCCUGCUAAGUCUGGAGUGAAAGGUACCGGCUCAACCGGUACAGGCUCUGGAAACUGGCGGGCUAGAGAGCAGGAGAGGGCGGUGGAACUCCAUGUGUAGCGGUAAAAUGCAUAGAUAUCACGCAGAACCCCGAUUGCGAAGGCAGCAUGCCGGCUUCCUACUGACGCUGAAGCACGAAGGCGUGGGGAUCGAACAGG